This 468-nucleotide ribosomal RNA is filed under the name uncultured bacterium. Its description in RNAcentral is "partial 16S ribosomal RNA". It matches the Rfam family "Bacterial small subunit ribosomal RNA", at positions 28 to 507 of the family's 1533-position model. The record is from RNAcentral.
GACGAACGCUGGCGGCGUGCUUAACACAUGCAAGUCGAACGGAAAGGCCCUGCCUAUGUGGGGUGCUCGAGUGGCGAACGGGUGAGUAACACGUGAGUAACCUGUCCUUGCCUUUGGGAUAACUUCAGGACACUGGGGCUAAUACCGGAUAGGAGCUACUGCUGCUUGGUGGGGGUGGGAAAGUUUCGGCGGUUGGGGUUGGACUCGCGGCUUAUCGGCUUGAUGGUUGGGUAGUGGAUUAGCAAGGCCUUGACCGGUAGCCGGGCUGGGAGGGUGACCGGCCACAUUGCGCCUGAGAUGCGGCCCGGACCCCUACCGGAGGCAGGGGAGGAGUGUAGUGCACUAUGGGCGGGGCGCUGGUGCAGCACCGCAGCGUGGCGGAUGACGGGCAGCCGGUUGUGUACCACUUUCCUCUGUGACGAAGCGUGAAUGACGGUAAUGGGUAAAGAAGCACCGGCUAACUACGUG